AUUGAACGCUGGCGGCAGGCCUAACACAUGCAAGUCGAGCGGAGCGGCGGACGGGUGAGUAAUGCCUAGGAAUCUGCCUGGUAGUGGGGGAUAACGUCCGGAAACGGGCGCUAAUACCGCAUACUAUCAGAUGAGCCUAGGUCGGAUUAGCUAGUUGGUGGGGUAAAGGCCUACCAAGGCGACGAUCCGUAACUGGUCUGAGAGGAUGAUCAGUCACACUGGAACGUACACACGGUCCAGACUCCUGCGGGAGGCAGCAGGGUGGAUGAUUGGAAAAGGGGCGAAAGCCUGAUCCAGCCAUGCCGCGGGUGUGAAGAAGGUCUUCGGAUUGUAAAGCACUUUAAGUUGGGAGACGUUCCCAACAGAAGAAGCCCCGGCUAACUUCGUGCCAGCCGCCGCGGUAAUU
Molecule: ribosomal RNA, 406 nt
Filed under: uncultured bacterium
Lineage: Bacteria
Description: partial 16S ribosomal RNA
Rfam family: Bacterial small subunit ribosomal RNA
Source: RNAcentral